GCGGGUAUAGUUUAGUGGUAAAACCCUAGCCUUCCAAG
This 38-nucleotide transfer RNA is filed under the name Gaultheria eriophylla. RNAcentral's name for it is "partial tRNA-Gly". RNAcentral also lists the same sequence under 113 other names. The record is from RNAcentral. Lineage: Eukaryota; Viridiplantae; Streptophyta; Magnoliopsida; Ericales; Ericaceae.